Molecule: ribosomal RNA, 987 nt
Filed under: Plasmodium knowlesi
Lineage: Eukaryota; Apicomplexa; Aconoidasida; Haemosporida; Plasmodiidae
Description: SSU rRNA
Rfam family: Eukaryotic small subunit ribosomal RNA
Source: RNAcentral
ACAUAACUGAUGCCUCCGCGUACCGACUUUGUGCGCAUUUUAGCUAUUAUGUGUUCUUUUAAUUAAAAUGAUUCUUUUUAAGAUUCAUCUAUUAAAAAUUUGCUUCGGCAUAAUUUUUUUUGAUGAUCUUGUUACUUUGAGUAAAUUAGAGUGUUCAAAGCAAACAGAUAUAGCAUUUGUGCGUUUGAAUACUACAGCAUGGAAUAACAAAAUUGAACAAGUCAGAAUUUUUUUGUUCUUUUUUCUUAUUUUGGCUUAGUUACGAUUAAUAGGAGUAGCUUGGGGGCAUUUGUACUCAGAUGUCAGAGGUGAAAUUCUUAGAUUUUCUGGAGACAAACAACUGCGAAAGCAUUUGCCUAAAAUACUUCCAUUAAUCAAGAACGAAAGUUAAGGGAGUGAAGACGAUCAGAUACCGUCGUAAUCUUAACCAUAAACUAUGCCGACUAGGCUUUGGAUGAAAGAUUUUAAAAUAAGAGUUUUUCUUUUCUCUCCGGAGAUUAGAACUCUUAGAUUGCUUCCUUCAGUGCCUUAUGAGAAAUCAAAGUCUUUGGGUUCUGGGGCGAGUAUUCGCGCAAGCGAGAAAGUUAAAAGAAUUGACGGAAGGGCACCACCAGGCGUGGAGCUUGCGGCUUAAUUUGACUCAACACGGGAAAACUCACUAGUUUAAGACAAGAGUAGGAUUGACAGAUUAAUAGCUCUUUCUUGAUUUCUUGGAUGGUGAUGCAUGGCCGUUUUUAGUUCGUGAAUAUGAUUUGUCUGGUUAAUUCCGAUAACGAACGAGAUCUUAACCUGCUAAUUAGCGGCAAAUACGAUAUAUUCUUAUGUAGAAUUGAAUAUAGUGGAUUUGUUAGAUUUUGAAGAAAAUAUUGGAAUUACGUUAAAUGUGAUUCCUUUCCCUUUUCUACUUAAUUUACAUUUCCAUCUAUUUCUUUUUUGCGUAUGAAUGUAUUUGCUUGAUUGUAAAGCUUCUUAGAGGAACGAUGUGUG